AACGCACAUUGCGCCCCUUGGUAUUCCGGGGGGCAUGCCUGUUCGAGCGUCAUUUCAACCCUCAAGCACAGCUUGGUCUUGGGCCCUGCCAGCAACGGCUGGCCUUAAAAACAGUGGCGGCGCCAUCGAGCUCUACGCGUAGUAAUUAUACCCUCGCGUGUGAGUCCCGGUGGAUGCUGGCCAGCAACCCCCAAUUUUCUAUGGUUGACCUCGAAUCAGGUAGGGAUACCCGCUGAACUUAA
RNAcentral lists this unclassified non-coding RNA (242 nucleotides) under uncultured Helotiales. Its description in RNAcentral is "sequence contains ITS2". Lineage: Eukaryota; Fungi; Ascomycota; Leotiomycetes; Helotiales. The record is from RNAcentral.